UUCGAACCUGAAGUUUCGAUAUUGAUAUUACUUUCAUAUGAACAUGAAGUUCUAAACAACAUAAUUAAAUCCAUGAUGAUCGAUGUGGUCUUGAAAAAGAGUCUGAAAGACAUGUAUCUAAUGGUGAAAUAUCCGCUUGAGUUUUGCCAAACAUCGGUUGAUCAGUUACCAAGAGCAUGAUAUGAAUGGACGCUUUUGCGCCUUCUAAUAUGGAUCAUGAUAUGGCUAUAGUUAUGGCUUAACCAUUUUCGGCCCAUUGACGCAUGCCCUAUAAUUUAGUGGCAAUUUACAAAGCCCUCUUUGAAUGGCAAUAAGACCAAAAUUAAUCAUAUUAAUCAGUCUCUUAGGAAAUCUGAGCCAUGAGUAGAUGUCACUUCACCCAAGUUGACAAUGUUUUUGUGGCUAAAUUGAAAUGUUAAAGACAUGAUCAACGGGGGUGUUCUUAACACCGAUUAAUAUUAAGCUUAUCAUAAUGGUAUUUCAGACACCGAGUUUGUCACAUCCCGACCCUUAUAUUUUUACCUUAUUUACUAGCGUGAUUAUAAUAAGAAUUUUACCGUCUCGAUCAUUGAGUAAAUAGUUUAAUUGGUCCCUAGAGGGGUUUCGGGGACGAUUAUGUGCGGAGGAUUAUUAGUAUGAAGAAAAUACGACGACGGUAAAAAUAGUAAAUUUUAGCUAGAAAAAGGUAAUUUUUAUUCGGGUAUUAUUUUUCGGGGUGUUUUUAUUUUGGAAGUUUGGGUUAUAAAUGGUGUGGACCGGUUUGGGGUGUGAGGCCCAAACCCUUUUUCUUUUCUCUCUCCCUCCCUCCCGAUUUUUCUUCUCCUCCCACCCGAUUUUCUUCUCUCUACACCCACCGGUAUUCCGGCCGUCCUCCCGCCGCCGUCCGACCUCCGUUCGCCGCCGGACCGGUCCCGUUCGGUCGGUCUCCCUCCCAGCAACAUUUCUAGACCGGUGAGAGGAGCCCUAGCGNNNNN
This 974-nucleotide long non-coding RNA is filed under the name Fragaria vesca (wild strawberry). RNAcentral's name for it is "long non-coding RNA (FVES_LNC000112)". The record is from RNAcentral. Lineage: Eukaryota; Viridiplantae; Streptophyta; Magnoliopsida; Rosales; Rosaceae.